This 482-nucleotide ribosomal RNA is filed under the name uncultured bacterium. Its description in RNAcentral is "bacterial SSU rRNA". It matches the Rfam family "Bacterial small subunit ribosomal RNA", at positions 30 to 506 of the family's 1533-position model. The record is from RNAcentral.
UUGAACGCUGGCGGAAUGCUUUACACAUGCAAGUCGAACGGCAGCACGGGGGCAACCCUGGUGGCGAGUGGCGAACGGGUGAGUAAUACCUAGGAACAUGUCCAGUAGUGGGGGAUAACGCAGCGAAAGCUGUGCUAAUACCGCAUACGAUCUACGGAUGAAAGCGGGGGAUCGCAAGACCUCGCGCGGACGGAGCGGCCGAUGGCAGAUUAGGUAGUUGGUGGGAUAAAAGCUUACCAAGCCGACGAUCUGUAGCUGGUCUGAGAGGACGACCAGCCACACUGGGACUGAGACACGGCCCAGACUCCUACGGGAGGCAGCAGUGGGGAAUUUUGGACAAUGGGCGAAAGCCUGAUCCAGCCAUGCCGCGUGCAGGAUGAAGGCCUUCGGGUUGUAAACUGCUUUUGUACGGAACGAAAAAGUCUUCUCUAAUACAGGGGGCGAAUGACGGUACCGUAAGAAUAAGCACCGGCUAACUACGU